CAAGGCUUGACAUAUACCGGAAAAGUUCAGAAAUGUUCUCCCCGCAAGGUCGGUAUACAGGUGGUGCAUGGUUGUCGUCAGCUCGUGUCGUGAGAUGUUGGGUUAAGUCCCGCAACGAGCGCAACCCUCGUUCUAUGUUGCCAGCACGUAAUGGUGGGAACUCAUAGGAGACUGCCGGGGUCAACUCGGAGGAAGGUGGGGAUGACGUCAAAUCAUCAUGCCCCUUAUGUCUUGGGCUUCACGCAUGCUACAAUGGCCGAUACAAAGGGCUGCAAUACCGUAAGGUGGAGCGAAUCCCAAAAAGUCGGUCUCAGUUCGGAUUGAGGUCUGCAACUCGACCUCAUGAAGUCGGAGUCGCUAGUAAUCGCAGAUCAGCAACGCUGCGGUGAAUACGUUCCCGGGCCUUGUACACACCGCCCGUCAAGUCAUGAAAGUCGGUAACACCCGAAGCCAGUGGCCUAACCGCAAGGAAGGAGCUGUCGAAGGUGGGAUCGGUGAUUAGGACUA
Molecule: ribosomal RNA, 507 nt
Filed under: uncultured bacterium
Lineage: Bacteria
Description: bacterial SSU rRNA
Rfam family: Bacterial small subunit ribosomal RNA
Source: RNAcentral